CCGGACCGAGCGGAGCGAAGGGUCCCCGCACCCUCGCCCUGGCGCAGUGCUGUCUCCGUUCAGAAGGGGGCGCCCAGGUCCCAGCCCUUCCUCCAGGCUCACCUGGGGACACCGCCACGGUUCUCGCCCCGUGACAGGGACAUGGAAAGAGUGGUAUCUGUGACCAGACUCUGUCAAGAAAGGUUUCCAGAGGAUUGGACAUCCAAGCUGGAUCUUGAAGGGUAAAUAGGAGUUUUCCAAGCAAGGAAGAAAUCGCCCAAUGUUGUGAUUAUUUAUCAUCAUCAUAAUAUUGCUAACAUUCAUGUGCCAGGUACUCUACUAAGCACUUUACUUCUAUUACCUGAUGUAAUCCUCACAACAACUCUAGGAAAGAGACACCUUAACAACUAAGCUACAUGACCAGAGUGGCAACUCUAUGUUUAACAUUUUGAGGAACUACCAAACUAUUUUCCAGAAUGGCUACAGCAUUUUACAUUCCCAUCAGUGAUGUUAUGAGGAUUUCAAUUUCUUAACAUCCUUGUCAAUACCUGGUGUUUUAUUGUAGCUAUCCUAAUGGGUAUAAAGUGAUAUCUCAUUGA
Molecule: long non-coding RNA, 578 nt
Organism: Myotis lucifugus (little brown bat)
Lineage: Eukaryota; Metazoa; Chordata; Mammalia; Chiroptera; Vespertilionidae
Exons: 3
Source: RefSeq, a predicted model, not a curated record